Molecule: long non-coding RNA, 1478 nt
Organism: Glycine soja
Lineage: Eukaryota; Viridiplantae; Streptophyta; Magnoliopsida; Fabales; Fabaceae
Exons: 3
Source: RefSeq, a predicted model, not a curated record
UACUGAGUUGAAGUUGGCAUCUCAUGGGAGGAAGGUAGAGCAAUUUGGAAGGCCUGGACUCGAGAUUGAAGGCAUAGUGACUGCUAUAGGAUUAAGUUCUUUGAUUUCAUAUUCAUUGGACACAGGUGACAAGGGACUUUUAUCUGCUUUUGUAGAGAGGUGGCACAAGGAAACUGGUAGUUUCCAUUUACCGGUAAUGAAGGUGAGUAUAACCCUCGAUGAUGUGGCAUACUUGUUACAUCUACCUAAUACAGGUGCCUUCCUUACCGUCGAUGCUCUUGAUGUAGACCAAGUCGUGGAGUUGUUAGUUGAGUUGCUUGGAGUCAGUACACAAGAAGCAAAAGAUGAGACUGAGUAAUACAGAGGACGUAUGUUCGGCUAGCCUGGUUGUGAGACAUUUAUCAUAGCAAAUAUGAUGCAAGAUAGUGGACCCUAGUAGCUCGAACAUAUUUAUUACAUCUAGUAGGUUGCACACUCUUUGCUAACAAGAGUGUCACACACAUCAAUGUGGUAUUCUUAGACGCAUUUCGUGACCUCAACCAAUCUAGAAGCUAUUCAUGGGGAGCAAUUGCACUGGUCCAUAUGUAUGACAAUCUGAAUGAUGCAUCAAAGCAUAAGACAAAACAUCUUGUAGGAUAUAUCACCCUGUUGUAGUGUUGGAUCUACGAGCAUUUCCCUACAAUUGCUUCCAUUUUUGCUGAUGAGGAUUACCAUGAGAGGAAUCCACGUGCUUGUCGAUGGAAGUCUAGGAAGGCAUUGCCAGUGUCGACAUAUCGUAAGCUCUAGGAUAGAUUGAUUCCAGAUGUUGUGUGUUGGAUUCUUGAUGGUGAUCAUCAUGCAUUUAGAGAAUCUGAGCUCAUCUUAUUAUUUUCUGGACAUAUCAGAUGAGGUUCAUCUAUUGUGAGACACCAACCAGAGAGGGUAGUGUGGCAGUUUGGUUAUGUUCAGACCAUUCUCUAUUCCCUGCUGCUCCUUCCUUUUUUGUAUAGGAGAUUGAUGAUAAAUGGCUUCAGUUUUCAGAAUACCUUACACCGAUUGGACAAAUUUGUAGUGCUUCUGAAUAGUGUGCAACAGACUACAUGGAGUGGUUCUAUAGGAUAUCUCACCCCUUCAUGAGUCUGGAAUGGCUUGGGAAGCCUUCUAGACAACCACUCGUGGUGCAUGAUGAUACAUUUAUUGUACCAGAUCCUCAUCAGUAGCCCGUCCACGUAGCAGUUAUGCCUGCUAAUGUAGACAUGCCACGACAUGCAGUGGACGCUUGUCAAAGGAUAAUAGAAAGUUUGGAACACAUGAUCAACAUGAGGAUGGUCACUGUCAGAACUGAAGCAUAUACUUUGACCGAGCAACACCUAAGAUCAGUCAGGGGUAUCAUUGACCAAUGAAAUGUUUAUGUCCGGUCUAGACAUAAGAGGGAUACACAGGACACAUGUAGAUAGUUGGAAUUGAUUAAGUAGUAUAAGAUAUAUGUAUGCAAUAUA